Molecule: ribosomal RNA, 444 nt
Filed under: uncultured bacterium
Lineage: Bacteria
Description: bacterial SSU rRNA
Rfam family: Bacterial small subunit ribosomal RNA
Source: RNAcentral
AACGAACGCUGGCGGCAGGCCUAACACAUGCAAGUCGAGCGCACCCUUCGGGGUGAGCGGCGGACGGGUUAGUAACGCGUGGGAACGUGCCCAGAUCUGCGGAAUAGCCACUGGAAACGGUGAGUAAUACCGCAUACGCCCUUCGGGGGAAAGAAUUUCGGGGAAGGAUCGGCCCGCGUUGGAUUAGGUAGUUGGUGGGGUAAUGGCCUACCAAGCCGACGAUCCAUAGCUGGUUUGAGAGGAUGAUCAGCCACACUGGGACUGAGACACGGCCCAGACUCCUACGGGAGGCAGCAGUGGGGAAUCUUAGACAAUGGGGCAACCCUGAUCUAGCCAUGCCGCGUGAGUGACGAAGGCCCUAGGGUCGUAAAGCUCUUUCGCCAGGGAUGAUAAUGACAGUACCUGGUAAAGAAACCCCGGCUAACUCCGUGCCAGCGCCGCGGU